RNAcentral lists this ribosomal RNA (254 nucleotides) under uncultured prokaryote. RNAcentral describes it as "partial 16S ribosomal RNA". It matches the Rfam family "Bacterial small subunit ribosomal RNA", at positions 524 to 777 of the family's 1533-position model. The record is from RNAcentral.
UACGAAGGGUGCAAGCGUUACUCGGAAUUACUGGGCGUAAAGCGUGCGUAGGUGGUUUGUUAAGUCUGAUGUGAAAGCCCUGGGCUCAACCUGGGAAUGGCAUUGGAUACUGGCAAUCUAGAGUGCGGUAGAGGGGUGUGGAAUUCCCGGUGUAGCAGUGAAAUGCGUAGAUAUCGGGAGGAACAUCUGUGGCGAAGGCGACACCCUGGACCAGCACUGACACUGAGGCACGAAAGCGUGGGGAGCAAACAGGA